Molecule: transfer RNA, 72 nt
Filed under: Mastigocoleus testarum BC008
Lineage: Bacteria; Bacillati; Cyanobacteriota; Cyanophyceae; Nostocales; Hapalosiphonaceae
Rfam family: tRNA
About the family: Transfer RNA (tRNA) molecules are approximately 80 nucleotides in length. Their secondary structure includes four short double-helical elements and three loops (D, anti-codon, and T loops).
Source: Rfam by way of RNAcentral
UAGAAGUUAGCUCACUGGCAGAGCAAUAGACACUUAAGCUAUUGGUGAUAGGUUCGAUUCCUAUACUUUUAA